Molecule: ribosomal RNA, 497 nt
Filed under: uncultured bacterium
Lineage: Bacteria
Description: partial 16S ribosomal RNA
Rfam family: Bacterial small subunit ribosomal RNA
Source: RNAcentral
GAUGAACGCUGGCGGCGUGCCUAAUACAUGCAAGUCGAGCGAACAGACGAGGAGCUUGCUCCUCUGACGUUAGCGGCGGACGGGUGAGUCACACGUGGAUAACCUACCUAUAAGACUGGGAUAACUUCGGGAAACCGGAGCUAAUACCGGAUAAUAUAUUGAACCGCAUGGUUCAAUAGUGAAAGACGGUUUUGCUGUCACUUAUAGAUGGAUCCGCGCCGCAUUAGCUAGUUGGUAAGGUAACGGCUUACCAAGGCAACGAUGCGUAGUCGACCUGAGAGGGUGAUCGGCCACACUGGAACUGAGACACGGUCCAGACUCCUACGGGAGGCAGCAGUAGGGAAUCUUCCGCAAUGGGCGAAAGCCUGACGGAGCAACGCCGCGUGAGUGAUGAAGGUCUUCGGAUCGUAAAACUCUGUUAUUAGGGAAGAACAAAUGUGUAAGUAACUAUACACGUCUUGACGGUACCUAAUCAGAAAGCCACGGCUAACUACGUG